This 1039-nucleotide long non-coding RNA is filed under the name Cyanistes caeruleus (blue tit). Its description in RNAcentral is "lncRNA (ENSCCEG00000007148.1)". Lineage: Eukaryota; Metazoa; Chordata; Aves; Passeriformes; Paridae. The record is from RNAcentral.
CAGCCCCUCCCGGGCAUCGAGGUCCUGGUGGGAAAUCCUCCCCUCCUUCUCUCCCUCAGGUGGUUUUGAAAGGCGACGCCCCCAGGCUGAUCGUGCACGGGGUUCCCCACGUUCACAGCCGCCCUCAAGCUCCGUCUCACCUCCCACAGCAGGCCUGCGCCGUCUGCCUGGAGGAUUUUCGGCUGCAGGAGGAGCUGGGGGUGCUGCCGUGCCAGCACGCCUUCCACAGAAAGUGAGUGUGGCUGGCAGAGCGGGCCGGGAGCGCGGAAUUCCCAGCGGGAAUGGCCAUUCCCGUGUUCCUGCCCGCAGGUGCCUGCUGAAGUGGCUGGAGGUGCGCUGCGUGUGCCCCAUGUGCAACAAACCCGCGGCGGAGCCCCGGGCCGGCAUCGGGACCCUCCUGGAUGAGCUGGUGUGAUCCAGCGGGAUCCAGCGGGAUCCAUUGUGAUCCACCACGAUCCAGUGGGAUCCAUGGCAAUCCAGCGGGAUCCAGUGGGAUCCACGACAAUCCAGCGGGAUCCAUCACGAUCCAGUGGGAUCCAUCGUGGUCCUGCAGGCUUCACCACAAUCCACCAUGAUCCAGUGGGAUCCACUGCAAUCCAUCGAGAUCCACCAUGAUCCAGUGGGAUCCACUGCAAUCCAUUGAGAUCCAGCAGGAUCCAGUGGGAUCCACUGCAAUCCAGUGAGAUCCAGCAGUAUCCAUGGUGAUCCAGCAGGAUCCAUUGUGAUCCACCACGAUCCAGUGGGAUCCACGGUGAUCCAGCAGGAUCCAUUGUGAUCCACCACGAUCCAGCGGGAUCCACGGAAAUCCAGCUGGAUCCAUCAUGAUCCAGCAGGAUCCAUUGUGGUCCUGCAGGCUUCACCGCAAUCCACCACGAUCCAGUAGGAUCCACGGCAAUUCAGCAGGAUCCACUGUGAUCCAUCGAGAUCCACCAUGAUCCAGUGGGAUCCAUCACGGUCCAUCGUGAUCCAGCGGGAUCCACUGCAAUCCAGCGAGAUCCAACGGGAUCUACGGCGAUCCAGUGGCAUCCAUAGCGAUCCA